GCUGGCGGCGUGCUUAACACAUGCAAGUCGAACGCACCUUCGGGUGAGUGGCGGACGGGUGAGUAACGCGUGAGAAUCUGCCCUCAGGAGGGGGAUAACGGCUGGAAACGGCCGCUAAUACCCCAUAUGCCGCGAGGUGAAACGAGUUUUCGCCUGAGGAUGAGCUCGCGUCUGAUUAGCUAGUUGGUGGGGUAAGAGCCUACCAAGGCAUCGAUCAGUAGCUGGUCUGAGAGGAUGAUCAGCCACACUGGGACUGAGACACGGCCCAGACUCCUACGGGAGGCAGCAGUGGGGAAUUUUCCGCAAUGGGCGAAAGCCUGACGGAGCAACGCCGCGUGAGGGAUGAAGGCCUCUGGGCUGUAAACCUCUUUUCUCAAGGAAGAAGAUCUGACGGUACUUGAGGAAUAAGCCACGGCUAAUUCCGUGCCAGCAGCCGCGGUAAUACGGGAGUGGCAAGCGUUAUCCGGAAUUAUUGGGCGUAAAGCGUCCGCAGGCGGUCUUGAAAGUCUGUUGUUAAAGCGUGGAGCUUAACUCCAUUUCAGCAAUGGAAACUAGAAGACUAGAGUGUGGUAGGGGCAGAGGGAAUUCCCGGUGUAGCGGUGAAAUGCGUAGAUAUCGGGAAGAACACCAGUGGCGAAGGCGCUCUGCUGGGCCAUAACUGACGCUCAUGGACGAAAGCCAGGGGAGCGAAAGGGAUUAGAUACCCCUGUAGUCCUGGCCGUAAACGAUGAACACUAGGUGUCGGGGGAAUCGACCCCCUCGGUGUCGUAGCCAACGCGUUAAGUGUUCCGCCUGGGGAGUACGCACGCAAGUGUGAAACUCAAAGGAAUUGACGGGGGCCCGCACAAGCGGUGGAGUAUGUGGUUUAAUUCGAUGCAACGCGAAGAACCUUACCAGGGUUUGACAUCCUGCGAAUCCCUUGGAAACGAGGGAGUGCCUUCGGGAGCGCAGAGACAGGUGGUGCAUGGCCGUCGUCAGCUCGUGUCGUGAGAUGUUGGGUUAAGUCCCGCAACGAGCGCAACCCACGUCUUUAGUUGCCAGCAUUCAGUUGGGCACUCUAGAGAGACCGCCGGUGAUAAACCGGAGGAAGGUGUGGAUGACGUCAAGUCAUCAUGCCCCUUACAUCCUGGGCUACACACGUACUACAAUGCUACGGACAAAGGGCAGCAAACUCGCGAGAGCUAGCAAAUCCCAUAAACCGUGGCUCAGUUCAGAUCGUAGGCUGCAACUCGCCUACGUGAAGGAGGAAUCGCUAGUAAUCGCAGGUCAGCAUACUGCGGUGAAUACGUUCCCGGGCCUUGUACACACCGCCCGUCACACCAUGGAAGUUGGCCACGCCCGAAGUCGUUACUCCAACCCUUGUGGAGGAGGACGCCGAAGGUGGGGCUGAUGACC
This 1395-nucleotide ribosomal RNA is filed under the name metagenome. RNAcentral's name for it is "bacterial SSU rRNA". It matches the Rfam family "Bacterial small subunit ribosomal RNA". The record is from RNAcentral.